GCGUUUGUGGUUUAGUGGUAAAAUUCAUCGUUGCCAAGCAUAACCGAAGGUUGAACGCUAGCUAUCUCGAUGAGCCCCGGGUUCGAUUCCCGGCAGACGCA
Molecule: non-coding RNA, 101 nt
Organism: Orbilia ellipsospora
Lineage: Eukaryota; Fungi; Ascomycota; Orbiliomycetes; Orbiliales; Orbiliaceae
Source: the annotation of a GenBank genome assembly